This 550-nucleotide ribosomal RNA is filed under the name uncultured bacterium. Its description in RNAcentral is "bacterial SSU rRNA". It matches the Rfam family "Bacterial small subunit ribosomal RNA", at positions 355 to 896 of the family's 1533-position model. The record is from RNAcentral.
UAGGGAAUCUUCCACAAUGGGCGCAAGCCUGAUGGAGCAACACCGCGUGAGUGAAGAAGGGUUUCGGCUCGUAAAGCUCUGUUGUUAAAGAAGAACACGUAUGAGAGUAACUGUUCAUGCGUUGACGGUAUUUAACCAGAAAGUCACGGCUAACUACGUGCCAGCAGCCGCGGUAAUACGUAGGUGGCAAGCGUUAUCCGGAUUUAUUGGGCGUAAAGAGAGUGCAGGCGGUUUUCUAAGUCUGAUGUGAAAGCCUUCGGCUUAACCGGAGAAGUGCAUCGGAAACUGGAUAACUUGAGUGCAGAAGAGGGUAGUGGAACUCCAUGUGUAGCGGUGGAAUGCGUAGAUAUAUGGAAGAACACCAGUGGCGAAGGCGGCUACCUGGUCUGCAACUGACGCUGAGACCCGAAAGCAUGGGUAGCGAACAGGAUUAGAUACCCUGGUAGUCCACGCCGUAAACGAUGAGUGCUAGGUGUUGGGUCCUUUCCGGGGCUCAGUGCCGCAGCUAACGCAUUAAGCACUCCGCCUGGGGAGUACGACCGCAAGGUUG